This 510-nucleotide ribosomal RNA is filed under the name Drosophila propiofacies. RNAcentral's name for it is "partial 16S ribosomal RNA". It matches the Rfam family "Bacterial large subunit ribosomal RNA", at positions 1825 to 2597 of the family's 2925-position model. The record is from RNAcentral. Lineage: Eukaryota; Metazoa; Arthropoda; Insecta; Diptera; Drosophilidae.
GUCUUUUUGAAUUAAAUUUAAAGUCUAACCUGCCCACUGAAAAUUUUAAAUGGCCGCAGUAUUCUAACUGUGCAAAGGUAGCAUAAUCAUUAGUCUUUUAAUUGAAGGCUGGAAUGAAUGGUUGGACGAAAUAUUAACUGUUUCAUUUAAAUUUUUUAUAGAAUUUUAUUUUUUAGUCAAAAAGCUAAAAUUAAUUUAAAAGACGAGAAGACCCUAUAAAUCUUUAUAUUUUGUUUAUUUUAAUUAUAAAGAUUAUUUUUAUUAUAAUAAAUUAAAAUAUUUUAUUGGGGUGAUAUUAAAAUUUAAAAAACUUUUAAUUUUUAAAACCAUUAAUUUAUGAAUAAUUGAUCCAUUAAUAAUGAUUAAAAAUUUAAGUUACUUUAGGGAUAACAGCGUAAUUUUUUUGGAGAGUUCAUAUCGAUAAAAAAGAUUGCGACCUCGAUGUUGGAUUAAGAUAUAAUUUUGGGUGUAGCCGUUCAAAUUUUAAGUCUGUUCGACUUUUAAAUUCUU